RNAcentral lists this ribosomal RNA (1400 nucleotides) under Bacillus safensis. RNAcentral describes it as "bacterial SSU rRNA". It matches the Rfam family "Bacterial small subunit ribosomal RNA". The record is from RNAcentral. Lineage: Bacteria; Bacillati; Bacillota; Bacilli; Caryophanales; Bacillaceae.
UCGAGCGGACAGAAGGGAGCUUGCUCCCGGAUGUUAGCGGCGGACGGGUGAGUAACACGUGGGUAACCUGCCUGUAAGACUGGGAUAACUCCGGGAAACCGGAGCUAAUACCGGAUAGUUCCUUGAACCGCAUGGUUCAAGGAUGAAAGACGGUUUCGGCUGUCACUUACAGAUGGACCCGCGGCGCAUUAGCUAGUUGGUGGGGUAAUGGCUCACCAAGGCGACGAUGCGUAGCCGACCUGAGAGGGUGAUCGGCCACACUGGGACUGAGACACGGCCCAGACUCCUACGGGAGGCAGCAGUAGGGAAUCUUCCGCAAUGGACGAAAGUCUGACGGAGCAACGCCGCGUGAGUGAUGAAGGUUUUCGGAUCGUAAAGCUCUGUUGUUAGGGAAGAACAAGUGCGAGAGUAACUGCUCGCACCUUGACGGUACCUAACCAGAAAGCCACGGCUAACUACGUGCCAGCAGCCGCGGUAAUACGUAGGUGGCAAGCGUUGUCCGGAAUUAUUUGGGCGUAAAGGGCUCGCAGGCGGUUUCUUAAAGUCUGAUGUGAAAGCCCCCGGCUCAACCGGGGAGGGUCAUUGGAAACUGGGAAACUUGAGUGCAGAAGAGGAGAGUGGAAUUCCACGUGUAGCGGUGAAAUGCGUAGAGAUGUGGAGGAACACCAGUGGCGAAGGCGACUCUCUGGUCUGUAAACUGACGCUGAGGAGCGAAAGCGUGGGGAGCGAACAGGAUUAGAUACCCUGGUAGUCCACGCCGUAAACGAUGAGUGCUAAGUGUUAGGGGGUUUCCGCCCCUUAGUGCUGCAGCUAACGCAUUAAGCACUCCGCCUGGGGAGUACGGUCGCAAGACUGAAACUCAAAGGAAUUGACGGGGGCCCGCACAAGCGGUGGAGCAUGUGGUUUAAUUCGAAAGCAACGCGAAGAACCUUACCAGGUCUUGACAUCCUUCUGACAACCCUAGAGAUAGGGCUUUCCCUUCGGGGACAGAGUGACAGGUGGUGCAUGGUUGUCGUCAGCUCGUGUCGUGAGAUGUUGGGUUAAGUCCCGCAACGAGCGCAACCCUUGAUCUUAGUUGCCAGCAUUUAGUUGGGCACUCUAAGGUGACUGCCGGUGACAAACCGGAGGAAGGUGGGGAUGACGUCAAAUCAUCAUGCCCCUUAUGACCUGGGCUACACACGUGCUACAAUGGACAGAACAAAGGGCUGCAAGACCGCAAGGUUUAGCCAAUCCCAUAAAUCUGUUCUCAGUUCGGAUCGCAGUCUGCAACUCGACUGCGUGAAGCUGGAAUCGCUAGUAAUCGCGGAUCAGCAUGCCGCGGUGAAUACGUUCCCGGGCCUUGUACACACCGCCCGUCACACCACGAGAGUUUGCAACACCCGAAGUCGGUGAGGUAACCU